UGCUAGUUCAAACUUGAAUUGUACUUCACUGAAAUAAUCCGCAUCGCUCUCUACUAUCCACAGAUUUUGAAAUUAGGAGAAGUGUCGAGAGGGAGGAAUUGUUCUGUGCUGAUGUUGAAACUGUGGGCAACAUCUAGCAAACUCUGGCAAAUCACCAACUGUGUCACCAGAUUGUUACCGGACAGGAAAACGUGGGAGCUUCCAAAUCACCUUCUCCUCUUGUCCUCUGACCCAGGGAAGCCAACACUCUUCACAGGUAAAUCCCUGUCUGAGAAGUUGAAAACAAACUGCCAGGACUCUUAAAACCCAGGUCCAGAACUAACACAAUGGUGCUGGUGUUCUGGACAAACUAUUACAAGGUCAGCCAAGACUCAAGGGAAAAGGACAAAAAAAAACCUUUGUGUGGGAGGAGUGGCAAAUAUUUGAUUGUCCCGGCAAACCACAUGGACAUGAAAUUGAGAAACAAAUCAUAGGACCAUAAGAACCUAUCCAUGUGAGAGUAUGAGGCUGUGAGUUCACAAUAUGCUUUCUAUCUCUACCCCCUACCCCUUAUCUGUGUUCUUGACAAUAUUCUGCAUAAGACAAUUAUUGAAAAUAAUUGAAAAAUAGUUUCAUUUUGUGAGUGUCUCCUUCAAAACCAAAAUUCAGUGCUCCAGCACUUUAUGGCUUCCCCUCACCUGAGCAAAGACUGUACUUCUCUAGCCAGCUUAUUCUACCUGCCCUGCCCGAGACCUUGGCAACUGGUACCAGAUAUCAAAGUGUCUGCUGUAACUUGCUCACUUACAAAGGC
RNAcentral lists this long non-coding RNA (790 nucleotides) under Felis catus (domestic cat). RNAcentral describes it as "lncRNA (ENSFCAG00000042487.2)". The record is from RNAcentral. Lineage: Eukaryota; Metazoa; Chordata; Mammalia; Carnivora; Felidae.